AUGCGGAUCUCAGGUUUUCUAAUAUUUGAAUUCCCGUUCCUCUCUCCCAAAAACCCCAGACUCAUCGUUGCUUCUCCCACAACACACCCUUCAAGAAUCAUCAUUGGGUUGACAUAUUCAUCAUCACUUCCGGCACAUCACAGCCGGUUUAUCUAUGGGGAUAAACAAGUUCUAAUUUACUGGAACGGUCGGCUCCUGUUGUUGAUUGGAAUGAAGCAGAAGCUGGUAACAUCAUAUCAACCACACUUGCUUGUUAAAUGUUGCAGAUAUGCAGACACUUUUCAUGCUCAUAUUUUUAUUAAGAUUAUGUUCAACUUUCCGGAGUUGUUGUUGUAGAGGUAACCAGAGUUGUUUCACUAAAACAUAGUGUGCGGCCACACCAUUUCUUUGCACGUCUUCAUCUGUCCUGUCAUGUGUAAUCAUACAAGUGGUGCUACGAUUGGAUAAAGGGGCAUUCUUCAAAAGUAUGUUGAAUCACACAAGAAGGGUUUCACUCCACCAUCUUUUCUAAAAUCAAAUAUUGCAGUACCCUUGUUAGCACAGGAAAUUCAUUCAAAGUCCAUGAUACGGAAAGCACAGGUUUCUGGUUUAUGAAUACAUGUUGUCAUCUGAGUAUUUAUGUUGGUUAAACAUUUGGUGCAUGUUGUCUUCCAAACAAAGUGAUCACAAAUUGGGGAAAAGAAGAUGGAUUGACUUGUGAGGCUUAAAGUGGCAAUGGGGAGGGGGUAGCAAAAGGCCUUGCUUAUUUGCAUUCAUGUUCUGCAGUUGGAAUUCAUGUUGUACAUAAAGACUUCAAAUCAACUAAUAUUCUUCUGAAGUUUUGAGUGGUGACUAUGAAGCAAAGAUAUUGGUGUGGAGAUGAGCUAGGGUUUACAAUUGUUUUAGAAGGUAACAUCUUGCUUUUACUUAUAUCAGGUACUACUUGCGCAACAGUUCUUACACGUGCAAUAUACUCAUAAGGGUGCAAAUUGGUUAAAGCUGGUAUGAAUGCAAUGGACAUUAGAAGAGGUAUAAUUAGGCCUGGCAAUAAAAACCCAUUUGGGUUUUUUGGGUCAUUUUAAAAAUGAGGAUGGGUCAUGAUGGGUUAACAAAAUAAUUAAGGAUGGGUCAGGAUGGGUUGUAUGAUAUCUAUUUAAAAUAAUUCGUAGGUCAGAAUGGGUAUUACGCUGGGUAAAUGGGUAACUCAAAAAAAGCAUUACAUUGAUGAUGACAACUGCCACUCUCACUCUCUUUCUACCAUUUCUGACACUUGGCUUCCACCAUGUCCGAUCAAAUACUCUUACGCCGGAAUCACUUCCUUCUUCUCCGCCGGAGCAGCCUCACCGUACGUCGUUCCACUUUCAACCUCCCCAAAAUUGGAUGAAUGGUUUCAUUAUUUUGCGACGAUGAACAUGCAUGAUUGAUCGUUUGACUAGCGGAUAUUUCAAUGCUCACAGAUCCUAACGUAUCUGGACUGUCGGGCACUAAAGAUGUAGCUCAAGAGUAUGUUCUAACUGGUGUUGGGUUACUAGCUGGGUCAGCAAUACUUCUUUUAACUUCGAUAUGGGAAACUUGUGUCAUCGUUGGAGGUCGAAAAUUUUCAUCAGAAUCGGGAUCAAGCACAUUAGUGAUUCCUACCCAAAAUCAAUACCAAAAGUUAUCGUAUUUUACUGGUCAGCCCGAUUCCUCAUUCCUCAAUCCAUUUACAUUUUACUUUUUUUUCCCCAUGAUAAACCGGUCGUAACGGGCUAUCGGGUUGACAUGAUUAAUUCACGGGUUAAACAAGUUCACACAAACACAGCCGGUUUAAUUAAACGGGUUAUACCUGGUUGGUGUCAAAAAAAAUUUUGAUUAUAUGACAUUGCUGGGUUAUCCUACUCCUAUUUUAGUAUUUUUUGAUCAUCCCUUGUGUAUCAUGCCUGCAUAAUAGAAUCUUUUCAUCCCUUGCAUAUCAUCCCUGCAAAAUAGAAUCUUACUUCAUCAUGUAAUGCCUAGAUUUUGGGAAGAUGGGUUAUGAGUAUGUUUCUUCAACAAUCUUCCCUUAUAUAUCGCCCUAUGAGGUAUGGACGUUAGUCUACUAAAAACCACCAUCCGUUUCAGUCAUGAAGCUAAUUAUGGUGGUUCUAAGAAUAUUGGAUACAAGUGGUAUAGUGGUCCACUAUAACAUUAUCAAUUCACCACUAUUGCAACACACUUCCUUGUACAUGAUUCUACUGUUAUAUUAUUUGUAUUUGCUCCCGCAAAAUAAUCGGCUUCAUUUAUGGAUUUCUCCUUUCUGAUUCACACAAGAUUAAUCUUGAUAAGGUAGAAUUGUGGCUUGAAGAGGUUCUUUGGGACAAGAAAACAUGACAUGGAUGUGAAUUGUUGCAAGGGAAAAAUGUGAGUGUAAUGGUCACACAGGUGGCUUUUUGAAAGGUAAUGUUCGAGUUGAUCCAAACACCUGUUGUCCAAAAGAAAUUUAGCUUUUUGUGAUUAUAAGAAUUACAUUAUUUCAAUAAUCUAACAUGAAUAAGUUGAUUUACCAUGUUUA
Molecule: long non-coding RNA, 2509 nt
Organism: Helianthus annuus (common sunflower)
Lineage: Eukaryota; Viridiplantae; Streptophyta; Magnoliopsida; Asterales; Asteraceae
Exons: 10
Source: RefSeq, a predicted model, not a curated record